This 486-nucleotide ribosomal RNA is filed under the name uncultured bacterium. Its description in RNAcentral is "partial 16S ribosomal RNA". It matches the Rfam family "Bacterial small subunit ribosomal RNA", at positions 30 to 507 of the family's 1533-position model. The record is from RNAcentral.
AUUGAACGCUGGCGACAUGCCUUACACAUGCAAGUCGAACGGCAGCACGGGUGCUUGCACCUGGUGGCGAGUGGCGAACGGGUGAGUAAUACAUCGGAACAUGUCCUGUAGUGGGGGAUAGCCCGGCGAAAGCCGGAUUCAUACCGCAUACGAUCUACGGAUGAAAGCGGGGGACCUUCGGUCCUCGCGCUAUAGGGUUGGCCGAUGUCUGAUUAGCUAGUUGGUGGGGUAAAGGCCUACCAAGGCGACGAUCAGUAGCUGGUCUGAGAGGACGACCAGCCACACUGGGACUGAGACACGGCCCAGACUCCUACGGGAGGCAGCAGUGGGGAAUUUUGGACAAUGGGCGAAAGCCUGAUCCAGCAAUGCCGCGUGUGUGAAGAAGGCCUUCGGGUUGUAAAGCACUUUUGUCCGGAAAGAAAUCCUUGGCCCUAAUACGGCCGGGGGAUGACGGUACCGGAAGAAUAAGCACCGGCUAACUACGUG